This 646-nucleotide ribosomal RNA is filed under the name Guillardia theta. Its description in RNAcentral is "partial Bacterial large subunit ribosomal RNA". It matches the Rfam family "Bacterial large subunit ribosomal RNA", at positions 426 to 1067 of the family's 2925-position model. The record is from RNAcentral. Lineage: Eukaryota; Cryptophyceae; Pyrenomonadales; Geminigeraceae.
GUGAAAUCCCGUAUGAAUCAGCGAGGACCACCUCGUAAGGCUACAUAUUCCUGAAUGACCGAUAGUGAAACAGUACCGUGAGGGAAAGGUGAAAAGAACGCCGAGAAGGCGAGUGAAAUAGUACCUGAAACCGUGUGCUUACAAGCGGUCGGAGCUGCAUUUAUGUAGUGACGGCGUGCCUUUUGUAUAAUGAGCCUACGAGUUGCUCCUGUUGUGCGAGGUUAAGCCCCUAAGGGGUGGAGCCGUAGCGAAAGCGAGUCUGAAUAGGGCGUGCAGUACAGCGGGGCAGACGCGAAACCAAGUGAUCUAUCCAUGGUCAGGGUGAAGCGGUGGUAAGACACCGUGGAGGCCCGAACCGGUUGACGUUGAAAAGUCUUCGGAUGAACUGUGGAUAGGGGUGAAAGGCCAAUCAAACUUGGAGAUAGCUCGUACUCCCCGAAAUAUAUUUAGGUAUAGCGUCUGGUUUUGUCUCACUGGAGGUAGAGCACUGAUUAGGCUAGGGCCCUUCACCGGGUACCAACCCUAGACAAACUCCGAAUACCAGUGAUGAGCCGCCAGGCAGUCAGUCGCAGGGUGAUAACGUCCUGUGGCGAGAGGGGAACAACCCAGACCACCAGCUAAGGUCCCUAAAUACCGACUAAGUUGA